Molecule: ribosomal RNA, 690 nt
Filed under: Pseudoalteromonas nigrifaciens
Lineage: Bacteria; Pseudomonadati; Pseudomonadota; Gammaproteobacteria; Alteromonadales; Pseudoalteromonadaceae
Description: bacterial SSU rRNA
Rfam family: Bacterial small subunit ribosomal RNA
Source: RNAcentral
AAACGACUGCUAAUACCGCAUAAUGUCUACGGACCAAAGGGGGCUUCGGCUCUCGCCUUUAGAUUGGCCCAAGUGGGAUUAGCUAGUUGGUGAGGUAAUGGCUCACCAAGGCGACGAUCCCUAGCUGGUUUGAGAGGAUGAUCAGCCACACUGGGACUGAGACACGGCCCAGACUCCUACGGGAGGCAGCAGUGGGGAAUAUUGCACAAUGGGCGCAAGCCUGAUGCAGCCAUGCCGCGUGUGUGAAGAAGGCCUUCGGGUUGUAAAGCACUUUCAGUCAGGAGGAAAGGUUAGUAGUUAAUACCUGCUAGCUGUGACGUUACUGACAGAAGAAGCACCGGCUAACUCCGUGCCAGCAGCCGCGGUAAUACGGAGGGUGCGAGCGUUAAUCGGAAUUACUGGGCGUAAAGCGUACGCAGGCGGUUUGUUAAGCGAGAUGUGAAAGCCCCGGGCUCAACCUGGGAACUGCAUUUCGAACUGGCAAACUAGAGUGUGAUAGAGGGUGGUAGAAUUUCAGGUGUAGCGGUGAAAUGCGUAGAGAUCUGAAGGAAUACCGAUGGCGAAGGCAGCCACCUGGGUCAACACUGACGCUCAUGUACGAAAGCGUGGGGAGCAAACGGGAUUAGAUACCCCGGUAGUCCACGCCGUAAACGAUGUCUACUAGAAGCUCGGAGCCUCGGUUCUGUUUUU